RNAcentral lists this ribosomal RNA (253 nucleotides) under uncultured bacterium. Its description in RNAcentral is "partial 16S ribosomal RNA". It matches the Rfam family "Bacterial small subunit ribosomal RNA", at positions 524 to 776 of the family's 1533-position model. The record is from RNAcentral.
GACAGAGGGUGCAAACGUUGUUCGGAAUUACUGGGCGUAAAGCGCGUGUAGGCAGCUGUGCAAGUCGGAUGUGAAAGCCCUGGGCUCAACCCAGGAAGUGCAUUCGAUACUGCGCAGCUCGAGUCCCGGAGAGGGUGGUGGAAUUCUCGGUGUAGAGGUGAAAUUCGUAGAUAUCGAGAGGAACACCUGUGGCGAAGGCGGCCACCUGGACGGCGACUGACGCUGAGACGCGAAAGCGUGGGGAGCAAACAGG